CCUACGGGUGGCAGCAGUCGAGAAUCAUUCACAAUGGGGGAAACCCUGAUGGUGCGACGCCGCGUGGGGGAAUGAAGGUCUUCGGAUUGUAAACCCUUGUCAUGUGGGAGCAAAUUAAAAAGAUAGUACCCCAAGAGGAAGCGACGGCUAACUCUGUGCCAGCAGCCGCGGUAAUACAGAGGGCUCAAGCGUUGUUCGGAAUCACUGGGAGUAAAGCGUGCGUAGGCUGUUUCGUAAGUCGGGUGUGAAAGGCGCGGGCACAACCCGCGGACGGCACAUGAUACUGCAUGACUAGAGUGAUGGAGGGGGAAGCGGAAUUCUCGGUGUAGCAGUGAAAUGCGUAGAUAUCGGGAGGAACACUCGUGGCGAAGGCGGGUUCCUGGACAUUAACUGACGCUGAGGCACGAAGGCCAGGGGAGCGAAAGGGAUUAGAUACCCCAGUAGUC
RNAcentral lists this ribosomal RNA (446 nucleotides) under uncultured bacterium. RNAcentral's name for it is "partial 16S ribosomal RNA". It matches the Rfam family "Bacterial small subunit ribosomal RNA", at positions 338 to 795 of the family's 1533-position model. The record is from RNAcentral.